UACGUAGGGUGCGAGCGUUAAUCGGAAUUACUGGGCGUAAAGCGUGCGCAGGCGGUGAUGUAAGACAGGUGUGAAAUCCCCGGGCUUAACCUGGGAACUGCAUUUGUGACUGCAUCGCUGGAGUGCGGCAGAGGGGGAUGGAAUUCCGCGUGUAGCAGUGAAAUGCGUAGAUAUGCGGAGGAACACCGAUGGCGAAGGCAAUCCCCUGGGCC
This 212-nucleotide ribosomal RNA is filed under the name uncultured bacterium. RNAcentral's name for it is "partial 16S ribosomal RNA". It matches the Rfam family "Bacterial small subunit ribosomal RNA", at positions 524 to 735 of the family's 1533-position model. The record is from RNAcentral.